RNAcentral lists this ribosomal RNA (492 nucleotides) under uncultured bacterium. RNAcentral's name for it is "partial 16S ribosomal RNA". It matches the Rfam family "Bacterial small subunit ribosomal RNA", at positions 29 to 507 of the family's 1533-position model. The record is from RNAcentral.
AUUGAACGCUGGCGGCAUGCUUUACACAUGCAAGUCGAACGGUAACAGGCCUUCGGGUGCUGACGAGUGGCGAACGGGUGAGUAAUGCAUCGGAACGUACCCAGAGGUGGGGGAUAACGCAGCGAAAGCUGUGCUAAUACCGCAUGUGAUCUGAGGAUGAAAGCGGGGGACCGAGCAGCAAUGUUUGGCCUCGCGCCUUUGGAGCGGCCGAUGUCGGAUUAGCUAGUUGGUGGGGUAAAGGCCUACCAAGGCGACGAUCCGUAGCUGGUCUGAGAGGACGACCAGCCACACUGGGACUGAGACACGGCCCAGACUCCUACGGGAGGCAGCAAUGGGGAAUUUUGGACAAUGGGCGCAAGACUGAUCCAGCAAUGCCGCGUGCGGGAAGAAGGCCUUCGGGUUGUAAAACGCUUUUGGCAGGAACGAAACGGUGUCCGCUAAUACCGGGCGCUAAUGACGGUACCUGCAGAAUAAGCACCGGCUAACUACGUG